Molecule: non-coding RNA, 24 nt
Filed under: Arabidopsis thaliana (thale cress)
Lineage: Eukaryota; Viridiplantae; Streptophyta; Magnoliopsida; Brassicales; Brassicaceae
Source: RNAcentral
AAACGCACCCAAGCUUGAUGACGC